RNAcentral lists this unclassified non-coding RNA (344 nucleotides) under soil metagenome. Its description in RNAcentral is "partial contains 5.8S ribosomal RNA, internal transcribed spacer 2, and large subunit ribosomal RNA". The stretch from base 1 to 120 matches the Rfam family "5.8S ribosomal RNA", at positions 35 to 154 of the family's 154-position model. The record is from RNAcentral.
GAUGAAGAACGUAGCAAAAUGCGAUAAGUAAUGUGAAUUGCAGAAUUCAGUGAAUCAUCGAAUCUUUGAACGCACAUUGCGCCCCCUGGUAUUCCGGGGGGCAUGCCUGUCCGAGCGUCAUUACUGCCCUCAAGCGCGGCUUGUGUGUUGGGCCCUCGUCCCCCCCGGGGGACGUGCCCGAAAGGCAGUGGCGGCGCCGUGCCCGGACCUCGAGCGUAUGGGGCUUUGUCACCCGCUCUGGAGACCCGGCCGGCGGCCGUCGGACCACCCCAACCUUUUUAACCGGUUGACCUCGGAUCAGGCAGGGAUACCCGCUGAACUUAAGCAUAUCAAUAAGCGGAGGA